Molecule: ribosomal RNA, 252 nt
Filed under: uncultured bacterium
Lineage: Bacteria
Description: partial 16S ribosomal RNA
Rfam family: Bacterial small subunit ribosomal RNA
Source: RNAcentral
UACGUAGGUCCCGAGCGUUGUCCGGAUUUAUUGGGCGUAAAGCGAGCGCAGGUGGUUUAUUAAGUCUGGUGUAAAAGGCAGUGGCUCAACCUCGUCGAGCCGUUGAAACUGGGUGCCUUGAGUGGGCGAGAAGUACGCGGAAUGCGUGGUGUAGCGGUGAAAUGCAUAGAUAUCACGCAGAACUCCGAUUGCGAAGGCAGCGUACCGGCGCCCAACUGACGCUGAAGCACGAAGGCGUGGGUAUCGAACAGG